RNAcentral lists this ribosomal RNA (497 nucleotides) under uncultured bacterium. RNAcentral describes it as "partial 16S ribosomal RNA". It matches the Rfam family "Bacterial small subunit ribosomal RNA", at positions 28 to 507 of the family's 1533-position model. The record is from RNAcentral.
GAUGAACGCUGGCGGCGUGCCUAAUACAUGCAAGUCGAGCGAACACACGAGGAGCUUUCUCCUCUGACUUUAGCGGCGGACGGGUGAGUAACACGUGGAUAACCUACCUAUUAUACUGGGGUAACUUCGGGAAACCGGAGCUAAUACCCGACAAAUUAUUACACCUUAUGGUUCAAUAGUGAAAGAAGGUUUUGCGUAUACUUUAGGCUUGCGUCGCAUUGCCUUAUCUAGUUGGUAAGGUAACGGCUUACCAACGCUACGAUGCGUAGCCGACCUGAGUGGGUGAUCGGACACACUGGACCUGAACCACGGUCCAGACUCCUCUGCGAGGCAGCGGUAGGGAAUCUUCCGCAAUGCGCUAAAGCCUGACGGGACCACGCCGAGUGGGUGAUGAAGUUCUUCGGAUCGUAAAACUCUGUUAUUAGGGAACAACAAAUGUGUAAGUAACUAUGCACGUCUUGACGGUACCUAAUCAGAAAGCAACGGCUAACUCCGUG